CUGGAAGAAUCACAGCGUGGAAUUUCAUGGUUGGAGAUUUUGGUGUAGAAGAGGAGAGGAUUAUGUGCAAUUGCCAGAAAGAAAAAAAGAGAAAAGGAAUAAAAGACCCUUAUCCUGGAAGGCUUUGUCUUUUUAUGCAAGAUUGGAAAUGGCUGAGAGACAGUUCUCUAUGAAGAUUUCAGGUCUGCAAUAUCCAGACCUUCUGCACAAAAGGCAUGUUUGAACAGCAAAGGUUUUGCAAGCUACAGCCUCACAGACACCACCCUCUUGCUCUUAUCUGGACACAUUUGCUUAUAUAACAAGAGGUACACAAUUAUUGAAGAAAAGUCUGGAAUGCACAAAAGCAAAAGCAAAACAAAACAAAACAAAAAACACAAUCAAAAUGCCCCAGGCCACAGACAAACUGUUGAGAAGGUGCUACAGCAUUCAAGCCAAGAUGACAACAGAAUUCCAUAUUGUGGAUCUCUUCCUGCUCCAAAUGGAUAAUGACGGUGGCAGAAAUUUAAAAGAGAACAUUCGAGAAGACAUACGUAUACAAUAAGAUCAAUACAAACAACUUUGUGUAACAGAAAUAAAAAUUUCUUACUU
Callorhinus ursinus (northern fur seal) is the source of this 588-nucleotide non-coding RNA. Lineage: Eukaryota; Metazoa; Chordata; Mammalia; Carnivora; Otariidae. The record is from RefSeq and is a predicted model, not a curated record.